This 208-nucleotide ribosomal RNA is filed under the name uncultured bacterium. RNAcentral describes it as "partial 16S ribosomal RNA". It matches the Rfam family "Bacterial small subunit ribosomal RNA", at positions 144 to 353 of the family's 1533-position model. The record is from RNAcentral.
UAACUACUGGAAACGGUAGCUAAUACCGCAUAACGUCGCAAGACCAAAGAGGGGGACCUUCGGGCCUCUUGCCAUCGGAUGUGCCCAGAUGGGAUUAGCUAGUAGGUGGGGUAAGGCUCACCUAGGCGACGAUCCCUAGCUGGUCUGAGAGGAUGACCAGCCACACUGGAACUGAGACACGGUCCAGACUCCUACGGGAGGCAGCAUG